AGAACGGGAGUACGGUUGACUGCGUAACAGUAGCACAUAAUCUAUUAAUUCAAAUGAUGCUCUGCAAGAAAUUGUUGAGUUGAUGGCCCUACUGGGGUUCUAAAGAUCAUACGAAAGUAAACCCGCAAUUAUCGCCCGUGUAUAAAUCCCGU
Molecule: unclassified non-coding RNA, 152 nt
Filed under: uncultured crenarchaeote
Lineage: Archaea; Thermoproteati; Thermoproteota
Description: partial 16S-23S ribosomal RNA intergenic spacer
Source: RNAcentral